RNAcentral lists this ribosomal RNA (325 nucleotides) under uncultured eukaryote. RNAcentral describes it as "partial 18S ribosomal RNA". It matches the Rfam family "Eukaryotic small subunit ribosomal RNA", at positions 1470 to 1796 of the family's 1831-position model. The record is from RNAcentral.
CCCUUAGAUGUUCUGGGCUGCACGCGCGCUACACUGAAGCGUUCAACGAGUAUUCACCUUGCCCGGGAGGGUUGGGUAAUCUUUUGAAAACGCUUCGUGAUGGGGAUAGAUUAUUGCAAUUAUUAAUCUUCAACGAGGAAUUCCUAGUAAGCGCGAGUCAUCAGCUCGUGCUGAUUACGUCCCUGCCCUUUGUACACACCGCCCGUCGCUCCUACCGAUUGAGUGAACCGGUGAAUAAUUCGGACUGCAGCACUGCUUGGUCUCCAGGCUUUGCAGCGGAAAGUUUAGUGAACCUUAUCACUUAGAGGAAGGAGAAGUCGUAACA